Molecule: ribosomal RNA, 535 nt
Filed under: uncultured bacterium
Lineage: Bacteria
Description: partial 16S ribosomal RNA
Rfam family: Bacterial small subunit ribosomal RNA
Source: RNAcentral
UGGGGAAUUUUGGACAAUGGGCGAAANCCUGAUCCAGCAAUGCCGCGUGUGUGAAGAAGGCCUUCGGGUUGUAAAGCACUUUUGUCCGGAAAGAAAUCCUUGGCUCUAAUACAGUCGGGGGAUGACGGUACCGGAAGAAUAAGCACCGGCUAACUACGUGCCAGCAGCCGCGGUAAUACGUAGGGUGCAAGCGUUAAUCGGAAUUACUGGGCGUAAAGCGUGCGCAGGCGGUUUGCUAAGACCGAUGUGAAAUCCCCGGGCUCAACCUGGGAACUGCAUUGGUGACUGGCAGGCUAGAGUAUGGCAGGAGGGGGGUAGAAUUCCACGUGUAGCAGUGAAAUGCGUAGAGAUGUGGAGGAAUACCGAUGGCGAAGGCAGCCCCCUGGGCCAAUACUGACGCUCAUGCACGAAAGCGUGGGGAGCAAACAGGAUUAGAUACCCUGGUAGUCCACGCCCUAAACGAUGUCAACUAGUUGUUGGGGAUUCAUUCCUUAGUAACGUAGCUAACGCGUGAAGUUGACCGCCUGGGGAGUAC